UACGUAGGUGGCAAGCGUUGUCCGGAUUUACUGGGCGUAAAGAGCGCGCAGGCGGUCGAUCAAGUCGCGUGUGAAAGCCCCCGGCUCAACUGGGGAGGGUCACGCGAUACUGAUCGACUCGAAGGCAGGAGAGGGUAGUGGAAUUCCCGGUGUAGUGGUGAAAUUCGUAGAUAUCGGGAGGAACACCGGUGGCGAAGGCGGCGACCUGGGACAAUACUGACGCUGAGGUGCGAAAGCGUGGGGAGCAAACAGG
This 253-nucleotide ribosomal RNA is filed under the name uncultured bacterium. Its description in RNAcentral is "partial 16S ribosomal RNA". It matches the Rfam family "Bacterial small subunit ribosomal RNA", at positions 524 to 776 of the family's 1533-position model. The record is from RNAcentral.